GACGAACGCUGGCGGCGUGCUUAACACAUGCAAGUCGAACGGAAAGGCCCUGCUUUUGUGGGGUGCUCGAGUGGCGAACGGGUGAGUAACACGUGAGUAACCUGCCCUUGACUUUGGGAUAACUUCAGGAAACUGGGGCUAAUACCGGAUAGGAGCUCCUGCUGCAUGGUGGGGGUUGGAAAGUUUCGGCGGUUGGGGAUGGACUCGCGGCUUAUCAGCUUGUUGGUGGGGUAGUGGCUUACCAAGGCUUUGACGGGUAGCCGGGCUGGGAGGGUGACCGGCCACAUUGGGACUGAGAUACGGCCCAGACUCCUACGGGAGGCAGCAGUGGGGAAUAUUGCACAAUGGGCGGAAGCCUGGUGCAGCAACGCCGCGUGCGGGAUGACGGCCUGCGGGUUGUAAACCGCUUUCGCCUGUGACGAAGCGUGAGUGACGGUAAUGGGUAAAGAAGCACCGGCUAACUACGUG
Molecule: ribosomal RNA, 468 nt
Filed under: uncultured bacterium
Lineage: Bacteria
Description: partial 16S ribosomal RNA
Rfam family: Bacterial small subunit ribosomal RNA
Source: RNAcentral